RNAcentral lists this long non-coding RNA (1048 nucleotides) under Homo sapiens (human). RNAcentral describes it as "HSALNT0105497". The record is from RNAcentral. Lineage: Eukaryota; Metazoa; Chordata; Mammalia; Primates; Hominidae.
UUUUUUUUUUAGACCCACAGAUAUUCAAACAAGAUGAAAGAUUUUAUGAACUAAAAGGAACACAGCAUAUGACACCAAAAACUACCCAAGACCCUUUUUCCGUUACCAUAUUCAAUUUCAGGAAUAAAACUCAACAUCUUUAAAAUAAUCAUCAAAUUUUCUGACAUGCCACUCCCGGAGGAAGAACAAUGUGGUAUCUACAGGAAAACAUCCAGCAAAUACAGUAUCUCAUGCACAGUAAAAGAAUGAAAGGCUAUGAAUUGACAAAAAGCAGCUAAAGACAAAAACAGUUUCAUAAUUACCAUUUGUCCAAAGUCAAUCUCUGAGCUAAAACACAAUGUUUUUUAUGUUUCUCUACUUAUAACAAAAUUUCGGGAAAAAACUCAGAAAAAAAAUUGGUACACCAAUACUACCACUGUUUUAUGAUCUCUGUGAGAAUUUAACAGUUUAAAAAAGCACAUGGCUGGACACAGUGGCUCAUGCCUGUAAUCCUAACACUCUGGGAGGCCAAGGCAAGAAGACAGCUUGAGCCCAGGAUUUUAAGACCAGCUUGAGCAACAUAGUGAGACUGUGGCUCUACAAAAAAACUUAAAAAUUAGCUGGUCAUGGUGAUGCAUACCUGUAAUCCCAGCUACUGUGGAGGCUGAGGUGGGAGGACUGUUUGUACUUAGGAGGUCAAGGCUGCAGCAUGCUGUGAUUUCACCACUGCAUUUCAACCUGAGCAACAAGUAGGACCCUGUCUCAAAAAAAUAUAUGAAAUACAAAUAACCAAAAUGUCAGUAAUUAAUGAAUCUGGGGAAUGGGUACAUGGAGGUUCAUUAAAGAAUCUGGAGAGGAGGUAUAUGGAACUUCAUUAGACAAUUCUCUACGAUUCUGUGUAUGUAUGCAACUUUCAUAAUAAAAAGUCUAAAAAGGUCUACUUACAGGUAUACUUUUUAAAUCCUAUCUUCAGUUAAGGCUGACCAUUCUAAACAAAAUUCUGGCAGAUACUUUUCAAAGAAUGUUUUCUUCAUUCUCGACUGAUCAAUUAAACACCAUAGUGAAAUGG